GCAUAACUACUCUGCAUCAAAAACAAAAGAAGAUUGAAGAUUAGAUUGAAGGAAGGCCAAUUAAAACAAAAGAGAAAGAGCCUUCGUACCUGUUUGCAGCAAAUCUCGAUUCAUAUUCUUCUCGUUUUCACGCACGCGCAACAAUGAUUCAAGCUGUUGAUAUUGGAUUUCAAAAACUGAUUUGAUGUUGGAGCCUAUUUUUUCUUCGUUUCACUCCCCUCUGAAUCCAUGAAUCCACAAGCAUGAAAGAAGGUUGAAGACUUGGAGAUGAAGCAGUGUGUUGAGCUUUCAAGUACGCAUUUGGAGGUUCGUUUCAGAUGAUGAAGAUUGGAGAAUCAC
This 339-nucleotide long non-coding RNA is filed under the name Lathyrus oleraceus (garden pea). RNAcentral describes it as "Pisum sativum (pea) long non-coding RNA (PSAT_LNC017872)". The record is from RNAcentral. Lineage: Eukaryota; Viridiplantae; Streptophyta; Magnoliopsida; Fabales; Fabaceae.